This 253-nucleotide ribosomal RNA is filed under the name uncultured bacterium. RNAcentral's name for it is "partial 16S ribosomal RNA". It matches the Rfam family "Bacterial small subunit ribosomal RNA", at positions 524 to 776 of the family's 1533-position model. The record is from RNAcentral.
UACAGAGGGUGCGAGCGUUAAUCGGAAUUACUGGGCGUAAAGCGCGCGUAGGCGGCUUUGCAAGUCGGGGGUGAAAUCCCCAGGCUCAACCUGGGAACUGCAUUCGAGACUGCAUUGCUAGAGUAUGGGAGAGGGAAGUGGAAUUUCAGGUGUAGCGGUGAAAUGCGUAGAUAUCUGAAGGAACAUCAGUGGCGAAAGCGACUUCCUGGACCAAUACUGACGCUCAUGUGCGAAAGCGUGGGGAGCAAACAGG